ACUAAGCGUACACGGUGGAUGCCCUGGCAGUCAGAGGCGAUGAAGGACGUGCUAAUCUGCGAUAAGCGUCGGUAAGGUGAUAUGAACCGUUAUAACCGGCGAUUUCCGAAUGGGGAAACCCAGUGUGAUUCGUCACACUAUCAUUAACUGAAUCCAUAGGUUAAUGAGGCGAACCGGGGGAACUGAAACAUCUAAGUACCCCGAGGAAAAGAAAUCAACCGAGAUUCCCCCAGUAGCGGCGAGCGAACGGGGAGCAGCCCAGAGCCUGAAUCAGUGUGUGUGUUAGUGGAAGCGUCUGGAAAGGCGCGCGAUACAGGGUGACAGCCCCGUACACAAAAAUGCACAUACUGUGAGCUCGAUGAGUAGGGCGGGACACGUGGUAUCCUGUCUGAAUAUGGGGGGACCAUCCUCCAAGGCUAAAUACUCCUGACUGACCGAUAGUGAACCAGUACCGUGAGGGAAAGGCGAAAAGAACCCCGGCGAGGGGAGUGAAAAAGAACCUGAAACCGUGUACGUACAAGCAGUGGGAGCCUCUUUAUGGGGUGACUGCGUACCUUUUGUAUAAUGGGUCAGCGACUUAUAUUCUGUAGCAAGGUUAACCGAAUAGGGGAGCCGAAGGGAAACCGAGUCUUAACUGGGCGUUAAGUUGCAGGGUAUAGACCCGAAACCCGGUGAUCUAGCCAUGGGCAGGUUGAAGGUUGGGUAACACUAACUGGAGGACCGAACCGACUAAUGUUGAAAAAUUAGCGGAUGACUUGUGGCUGGGGGUGAAAGGCCAAUCAAACCGGGAGAUAGCUGGUUCUCCCCGAAAGCUAUUUAGGUAGCGCCUCGUGAAUUCAUCUCCGGGGGUAGAGCACUGUUUCGGCAAGGGGGUCAUCCCGACUUACCAACCCGAUGCAAACUGCGAAUACCGGAGAAUGUUAUCACGGGAGACACACGGCGGGUGCUAACGUCCGUCGUGAAGAGGGAAACAACCCAGACCGCCAGCUAAGGUCCCAAAGUCAUGGUUAAGUGGGAAACGAUGUGGGAAGGCCCAGACAGCCAGGAUGUUGGCUUAGAAGCAGCCAUCAUUUAAAGAAAGCGUAAUAGCUCACUGGUCGAGUCGGCCUGCGCGGAAGAUGUAACGGGGCUAAACCAUGCACCGAAGCUGCGGCAGCGACACUAUGUGUUGUUGGGUAGGGGAGCGUUCUGUAAGCCUGUGAAGGUGUGCUGUGAGGUAUGCUGGAGGUAUCAGAAGUGCGAAUGCUGACAUAAGUAACGAUAAAGCGGGUGAAAAGCCCGCUCGCCGGAAGACCAAGGGUUCCUGUCCAACGUUAAUCGGGGCAGGGUGAGUCGACCCCUAAGGCGAGGCCGAAAGGCGUAGUCGAUGGGAAACAGGUUAAUAUUCCUGUACUUGGUGUUACUGCGAAGGGGGGACGGAGAAGGCUAUGUUGGCCGGGCGACGGUUGUCCCGGUUUAAGCGUGUAGGCUGGUUUUCCAGGCAAAUCCGGAAAAUCAAGGCUGAGGCGUGAUGACGAGGCACUACGGUGCUGAAGCAACAAAUGCCCUGCUUCCAGGAAAAGCCUCUAAGCAUCAGGUAACAUCAAAUCGUACCCCAAACCGACACAGGUGGUCAGGUAGAGAAUACCAAGGCGCUUGAGAGAACUCGGGUGAAGGAACUAGGCAAAAUGGUGCCGUAACUUCGGGAGAAGGCACGCUGAUACGUAGGUGAAGUCCCUUGCGGAUGGAGCUGAAAUCAGUCGAAGAUACCAGCUGGCUGCAACUGUUUAUUAAAAACACAGCACUGUGCAAACACGAAAGUGGACGUAUACGGUGUGACGCCUGCCCGGUGCCGGAAGGUUAAUUGAUGGGGUUAGCGGUAACGCGAAGCUCUUGAUCGAAGCCCCGGUAAACGGCGGCCGUAACUAUAACGGUCCUAAGGUAGCGAAAUUCCUUGUCGGGUAAGUUCCGACCUGCACGAAUGGCGUAAUGAUGGCCAGGCUGUCUCCACCCGAGACUCAGUGAAAUUGAACUCGCUGUGAAGAUGCAGUGUACCCGCGGCAAGACGGAAAGACCCCGUGAACCUUUACUAUAGCUUGACACUGAACAUUGAGCCUUGAUGUGUAGGAUAGGUGGGAGGCUUUGAAGUGUGGACGCCAGUCUGCAUGGAGCCGACCUUGAAAUACCACCCUUUAAUGUUUGAUGUUCUAACGUUGACCCGUAAUCCGGGUUGCGGACAGUGUCUGGUGGGUAGUUUGACUGGGGCGGUCUCCUCCUAAAGAGUAACGGAGGAGCACGAAGGUUGGCUAAUCCUGGUCGGACAUCAGGAGGUUAGUGCAAUGGCAUAAGCCAGCUUGACUGCGAGCGUGACGGCGCGAGCAGGUGCGAAAGCAGGUCAUAGUGAUCCGGUGGUUCUGAAUGGAAGGGCCAUCGCUCAACGGAUAAAAGGUACUCCGGGGAUAACAGGCUGAUACCGCCCAAGAGUUCAUAUCGACGGCGGUGUUUGGCACCUCGAUGUCGGCUCAUCACAUCCUGGGGCUGAAGUAGGUCCCAAGGGUAUGGCUGUUCGCCAUUUAAAGUGGUACGCGAGCUGGGUUUAGAACGUCGUGAGACAGUUCGGUCCCUAUCUGCCGUGGGCGCUGGAGAACUGAGGGGGGCUGCUCCUAGUACGAGAGGACCGGAGUGGACGCAUCACUGGUGUUCGGGUUGUCAUGCCAAUGGCACUGCCCGGUAGCUAAAUGCGGAAGAGAUAAGUGCUGAAAGCAUCUAAGCACGAAACUUGCCCCGAGAUGAGUUCUCCCUGACUCCUUGAGAGUCCUGAAGGAACGUUGAAGACGACGACGUUGAUAGGCCGGGUGUGUAAGCGCAGCGAUGCGUUGAGCUAACCGGUACUAAUGAACCGUGAGGCUUAACC
Molecule: ribosomal RNA, 2893 nt
Filed under: human gut metagenome
Description: bacterial LSU rRNA
Rfam family: Bacterial large subunit ribosomal RNA
Source: RNAcentral